GCCGGGUGUGGUGGUGGGUACCUGUAAUCCCAGCUACUUGGGAGGCUGAGGCAGGAGGAUCACUUGAACCUGGGAGCUGGAGGUUGCAGUGAGCCGUUAUCACGCCACUGUACUCCAGCCUGGGUGACAAAGUGAGACUCUGUCUCGA
RNAcentral lists this signal recognition particle RNA (148 nucleotides) under Nomascus leucogenys (northern white-cheeked gibbon). RNAcentral describes it as "Metazoan signal recognition particle RNA". It matches the Rfam family "Metazoan signal recognition particle RNA". From Rfam's summary of the family: The signal recognition particle (SRP) is a universally conserved ribonucleoprotein. The record is from Rfam by way of RNAcentral. Lineage: Eukaryota; Metazoa; Chordata; Mammalia; Primates; Hylobatidae.